Monopterus albus (swamp eel) is the source of this 2157-nucleotide long non-coding RNA. RefSeq lists it as uncharacterized. The transcript has 2 exons. NCBI's taxonomy places the organism in Eukaryota, Metazoa, Chordata, Actinopteri, Synbranchiformes, Synbranchidae. The record is from RefSeq and is a predicted model, not a curated record.
GGCGUGUGCACCACACUGUUUGGUGCUGAGACUCAGACUCGACCUGACCCAAUGAGACCCCCUCAGCUGUGGGAAGCACAGUCAACUACACAUAAUUCCAGCAUCACCUUGGAUGAGAUGGCGGUAGCAGCUGAAUGAACCUUUCCUCUGGAGCUGAAUAUGCCAAUCUGGACUGAAACCUGGGAUCCUCUGAAGAACCUCGCCAGUGAAGCUCCUAUCUGUGCCCUUUCUGUUUGUCUGUACAUCUGCAUGUCUGUCUUAUGUUUGUCUGUUUGUUGCUGUGCAUGCACACUUCUCUCUUCACCUUUGUUUGCAUGUUCUCGUCUGUCCAUAAAAGUAAACAGAGCCAUAAGAGUCUGAUAAAAAGGUAAGGCACUAAACUUUUAGGCAGUCCUGCCUUUCAGUUCCUCCAACAGGUAUGUGACAUGAGACACCACAACAAGCAGUGCUGGUCAUGGCAGGACGCUCAUAAGGUGGAGUUUCGGUCACCAACCAUCUGACGACCUCCGUGAUGUGGGACCAUUUGCUGCUGUACCACCUCCAGAUACUCAUAAAGGAAGUAUUGAAGGGACUUGGCUUUCUCUCCCUCUCUCUCACUGCCUAUCUGUUCAACAUGCCCAUCUAUUCUGUGUUAGUCUUGUGUCCUACUGGGGGUGAAGUUCAGUCGUUAACCAUCUGCCUCAUGCCCCUCAUCUGUUUACCAGGUCGCAUACAGUCAGUGUAUCACGCAUUUUAAUAGUCCUGCACUGCUUUGGUUACUGGGGUAAACUCUGCCUGUUACUCUGUGCCCACUUUAUACUUUGACACAUUAGCUUAAUUGUCUGUCCCACUGUUUGGGACACUGGCUUUCUCUACUGCUGUUCAGCCCAUAGAUAAUCUGUUAGAAUACAUGUAAAAUCUUUUUUUGACACAAUAUUUUGUCAAGUUAAACGUUAGAUUAGAUAAACUGGAAUAUUUUUUUUUUUUUCUCACAAACAGUACUAUGUAUCUUUAAAUGCUGUUAUAGAGAUUUGUUUUAAAAACAGUUUAUUGUACUUUAGCAUUAGGCCUCUGGGUCAUCUCGCUCUGCCAAGUUUCAAGAGGGAGUCUCGCGCUUCAACUAGGCCCGGUGAGGUUAGAGUUCAGGUUUUCGUAUUAGAUUUUCCGGAUGUUGGGAGGCCUCCCAGCAGGAGAAUUUAUCCCACUCCUGCAAAGCGUUAUGCCACUGAUGCGGGGAUACUUUAGACAGUUUAUUUACAUUGUUGUCGGACCUGGUUUACGCGGUACCAGCUGGGGGUGCGUUUGGGUUGUUGGGAGGGAGCCUGGCAGAGAUAGAUGACUUUAUAAAAAAAGCGUGUGUACACCCAUUUUGGGUGGAUUUUCCCUAUUGUCUGUGACAACAACAGCAGUGAUACUAUGAAGCCUGAUUGUCAACUACACAGGUUUACACCAUAUUGAACGUAUUACUGAGUUUUACUCUUAACUUUCUUAUAGCAAGAUUAUACUGUGGGCUGAACUGUCUCAAGGCUAACAGACUUUGUAUGGAAGGAACUAAGCUUUGCAGGGACAGUACCUCAGUUAUUAAAAUGAAAAUUGGCCCUUUGCAGUACAUCAUGUCUUUCUUAGCUUAGCAGCAUGAAUUAGCUUGUCCUCUUUUCCAACUCCACAUAUUCCUACACAAUGUACACUGAUGGUGUUUUCUAAGAUGAGACAUACAUUAGAAGUGAGAGAGUAGGGAGCCAACAUGGGAGACAGUUGUAGUGUCAAAUCAGUGAUAGUUACUGUCUUUUGGAAACAUUACAGGUUGUGUUUCUUAUUAAAUCAGUGCAGAGUAACAGUCAGUUCUAGGGUUAAGGAAGCCAGGGCUGCUCCACACUACAGAGAAUGAGGCCAACUGAGUCGACUCAUCAUAAGAGGUUUUUCCUCCUUCCCCUUCUUCUCAGUGUGUGAAGGAGUCCGAGCUUUCAAGUUAUGGUGUGCCAUGGUUGUGCAUAUUCCAAAACCAGACAAGGAUCCCUCUGGUUUUGUGAAUCGGCUGACAUGGUAUGCUGUUAUGAUCCUACUAAGAGAUGCGCUGUACAAUUGAUAUGUUUAAGGUAGAUUUGGUGAGACAGAGCCAGCUGUGACUAUCACAGUUCAAGAUGAGGAUGCACAGAGUAGACCUGACUUGAUAAAGGC